GUGAGGAAUAUUGGACAAUGGAGGAAACUCUGAUCCAGCCAUGCCGCGUGAGUGAUGAAGGCCUUCGGGUUGUAAAGCUCUUUCGGGUGUGAAAAUGAUGAUGGUAACACCAGAAGAAGCCCCGGCUAACUCCGUGCCAGCAGCCGCGGUAAUACGGAGGGGGCGAGCGUUGUUCGGAAUCACUGGGCGUAAAGCGUGCGUAGGCGGUUAUACAAGUCAGGAGUGAAAUCCCAGGGCUCAACCUUGGAAUUGCUUAUGAGACUGUAUGACUAGAGAUCUAGAGAGGUUGGGGGAAUUCCGAGUGUAGAGGUGAAAUUCGCAGAUAUUCGGAGGAACACCAGUGGCGUAGGCGCCCAACUGGCUAGAUACUGACGCUGAGGCACGAAAGCGUGGGGAGCAAACAGGAUUAGAAACCCCAGUAGUCC
This 425-nucleotide ribosomal RNA is filed under the name uncultured bacterium. RNAcentral describes it as "partial 16S ribosomal RNA". It matches the Rfam family "Bacterial small subunit ribosomal RNA", at positions 354 to 796 of the family's 1533-position model. The record is from RNAcentral.